UUAGUCAUAGUUGUGAAGCUAGUGCAGUUGGUUUGGCCUUUCAAUAGGCGCUAGGGUGGGUGUUUGAAUCCCAGCGCAUGCAUUUGAUAUUUUAACAUUUUUCUCACUUUUUUGACAUGUAUAUAUACGUUUUUUUCUCUUUUUUUUUUGGUUUUUCAGUUUUUAAUUUUUUCUAUAGUUUCUUUCUUUUAAGUAUGUAGUUUCUUUCUUGUUUCUAUAAUUUCUUUUUUUUAAUACUUAUAGUUUCUUUCUUUUAAG
Molecule: long non-coding RNA, 258 nt
Filed under: Salvia miltiorrhiza (redroot sage)
Lineage: Eukaryota; Viridiplantae; Streptophyta; Magnoliopsida; Lamiales; Lamiaceae
Description: long non-coding RNA (SMIL_LNC001049)
Source: RNAcentral